UACGUAGGGUGCAAGCGUUGUCCGGAAUUAUUGGGCGUAAAGAGCUCGUAGGCGGUCUGUCGCGUCGGCUGUGAAAACACGGGGCUCAACUCCGUGCCUGCAGUCGAUACGGGCAGACUAGAGUUCGGUAGGGGAGACUGGAAUUCCUGGUGUAGCGGUGAAAUGCGCAGAUAUCAGGAGGAACACCAGUGGCGAAGGCGGUGCUCUGGGCCGGAACUGACGCUGAGGAGCGAAAGCGUGGGGAGCAAACAGG
Molecule: ribosomal RNA, 253 nt
Filed under: uncultured bacterium
Lineage: Bacteria
Description: partial 16S ribosomal RNA
Rfam family: Bacterial small subunit ribosomal RNA
Source: RNAcentral